Molecule: ribosomal RNA, 456 nt
Filed under: uncultured bacterium
Lineage: Bacteria
Description: bacterial SSU rRNA
Rfam family: Bacterial small subunit ribosomal RNA
Source: RNAcentral
UACGGGAGGCAGCAGUGGGGAAUAUUGCACAAUGGGCGCAAGCCUGAUGCAGCCAUGCCGCGUGUAUGAAGAAGGCCUUCGGGUUGUAAAGUACUUUCAGUCGUGAGGAAGGUGUUAAGGUUAAUAACCGCAACGAUUGACGUUACUCGCAGAGGAAGCACCGGCUAACUCCGUGCCAGCAGCCGCGGUAAUACGGAGGGUGCAAGCGUUAAUCGGAAUUACUGGGCGUAAAGCGCACGCAGGCGGUCUGUCAAGUCGGAUGUGAAAUCCCCGGGCUCAACCUGGGAACUGCAUCCGAAACUGGCAGGCUAGAGUCUUGUAGAGGGGGUAGAAUUCCAGGUGUAGCGGUGAAAUGCGUAGAGAUCUGGAGGAAUACCGGUGGCGAAGGCGGCCCCUGGACAAAGCUGACGCUCAGGUGCGAAAGCGUGGGGAGCAAACGAGGAUUAGAUAACCCGU